GCUCACUCAACGUGGGAAGCCCUGUGAAUCUUCUCUCUGCCUAAACAGAAUGUGAAACUUCCCUGGGACUGUUGGGUUCUGUAUCCUCCCUGCUCUGGUGGGGCUUGAAGUUACGCCUUUCCUGGAUGGACAUGCGGGCUGUGCUAUGUCUGGAGAGGCACCGGGAAUCCAGUCACUGAGGCAUGCUCACCGUGGCUUCAACUGUGGGCAUUGAUUUCUUCCCUGAAACCCUGGAGGAGACACAUCGGGGCUGUUCUCCUGGCUUCUUCAGAUGUAUUCUUAGAGAUGGGAGUCCUGGGCCAAAGGCAGGUGGCAGCGUCCCCGUCCUGUACCCAUCCCGCUGCCUUCUAGGAAGCUGGGGCUGGGUCGUGUGCCCACAUCCCAUGGAUGGAGAGUUCUGUUUCACUCACCAUCAGCAGCACAAAGCGUCAUCAUUUGAAAUGUUUCCUUCAUGCUUCUAGAAGAAAGGUGUUUUCAUUUUAACUCCAGUCGCAUGGUGCUCACCUGCUGUGGUGCGUGUCUGUCUCCGCCAGCCGCAGGCACCAGCACGGGAGGCUUGUGUGGCCCAAUUCUGGCAUUGAUAUUUGUGGGAACGUGGGUGGACAGGGCCCGAGCAAAGUUUGCUAGUCCCUGAGAAAACAGCCCAAGAGGACACAUCUCUUCCUCUUCCACUGGCCAUGGUCAGAUCUGAAUGUGACGGUGGGACCAUCGCAGCCUCUCUCGACCCAGGGUCCUGGCUGCCUGAGACGCGCAGAGCUCCUGAACUAACCAACCCUGAGCUCGCCCUGCCCGGAUCUGCACCUCCGUUCUUUAAGGAAAUGCACGUGGUGCUGCUCCAGCCGUCAGGCUUGUGCGUGUUCUCUGCGGCUGGCGCCUCCCGCGUGCCGUCCUGUGGCCUCGCCCUCCUCCUACUGCUGCUCGGCAGCUGGGGGCUUCUCUCCAGGGUCGUGUGAUGGCCUUUUGAAAAAUGUAACCAAUAAACUCAGACACCUGGAAGCUGCAAAGUGUGUA
RNAcentral lists this long non-coding RNA (1011 nucleotides) under Homo sapiens (human). Its description in RNAcentral is "HSALNT0116840". The record is from RNAcentral. Lineage: Eukaryota; Metazoa; Chordata; Mammalia; Primates; Hominidae.